Molecule: ribosomal RNA, 200 nt
Filed under: uncultured bacterium
Lineage: Bacteria
Description: partial 16S ribosomal RNA
Rfam family: Bacterial small subunit ribosomal RNA
Source: RNAcentral
AGAGUUUGAUCCUGGCUCAGAACGAACGCUGGCGGCAUGCCUAAUACAUGCAAGUCGAACGCGUGGAGCAAUCCACGAGUGGCGGACGGGUGAGUAACGCGUGGGAACCUGCCCUUGAGUGCGGGAUAACCGAGGGAAACUUCGGCUAAUACCGCAUGCUCCUCAGCAAUGAGGGAAAGAUUUAUCGCUCGAGGAGGGGC